AGGUGAUGGACAACAGGUUGAUAUUCCUGUACUACCGAUAACCGUUUGAGAGAAGGGAUGACACAGUAGGAUAAGCUAAGCACACUGUUGGUUAUGUGUGCCCAAGCAUUGAGGCAGUCAAAGUAGGCAAAUCCGCUUUGAUAAUGCUGGGAUGUGAUGGGGAGCGAAAGUUAGUAGCGAAGUAGCUGAUUUCACACUGUCAAGAAAAGUCUCUAUCGAGGUUAAAGGUACCCGUACCGCAAACCGACACAGGGGGGUGAGGAGAGUAUCCUAAGGCCAGCGAGAGAACUGUUGUUAAGGAACUCGGCAAAAUGACCCCGUAACUUAGGGAUAAGGGGUGCCACCAUCAGGUGGCCGCAGAGAAUAGGCCCAAGCGACUGUUUACCAAAAACAUAGGUUUCUGCUAAGUCGCAAGACGAUGUAUAGGAGCUGACGCCUGCCCGGUGCUGGAAGGUUAAGGGGAUCUGUUAGAGCAAUCGAAGCAGUGAACUUAAGCCCCAGUAAACGGCGGCCGUAACUAUAACG
This 525-nucleotide ribosomal RNA is filed under the name Clostridioides difficile. RNAcentral's name for it is "bacterial LSU rRNA". It matches the Rfam family "Bacterial large subunit ribosomal RNA", at positions 1413 to 1947 of the family's 2925-position model. Lineage: Bacteria; Bacillati; Bacillota; Clostridia; Peptostreptococcales; Peptostreptococcaceae. The record is from RNAcentral.